GCCGAGGUAGCUCAGUUGGUAGAGCAAUUGCAUCGUAAGCAAUGGGUCGGGAGUUCAAGUCUCCCCCUCGGCU
This is a non-coding RNA of Parcubacteria bacterium C7867-007, 73 nucleotides long. NCBI's taxonomy places the organism in Bacteria, Candidatus Parcubacteria. The record is from Rfam.